This 794-nucleotide ribosomal RNA is filed under the name metagenome. RNAcentral describes it as "bacterial SSU rRNA". It matches the Rfam family "Bacterial small subunit ribosomal RNA", at positions 19 to 811 of the family's 1533-position model. The record is from RNAcentral.
CUGGCUCAGAACGAACGCUGGCGGCGUGCUUAACACAUGCAAGUCGAACGAGAACGUCCUUCGGGACAAGUAGAGUGGCGAACGGGUGAGUAACGCGUGGGUAAUCUACCCUUGGGUGGGGGAUAACUUUGGGAAACUGAAGCUAAUACCGCAUACGACAGAGAUGGGAAAGGUGGGGAUCUUCGGACCUGCCGCCCUUGGAUGAGCCCGCGUAUCAUUAGGUAGUUGGUAGGGUAAAGGCCUACCAAGCCGAAGAUGAUUAGCUGGUCUGAGAGGAUGAUCAGCCACACUGGGACUGAGACACGGCCCAGACUCCUACGGGAGGCAGCAGUGGGGAAUAUUGCGCAAUGGAGGAAACUCUGACGCAGCAACGCCGCGUGUGUGAAGAAGGUUUUCGGAUCGUAAAGCACUGUUGAGUGGGAAGAGACGAUUGNAGUUAAUACCUGCNCCCCCGACGGUACCACUCGAGGAAGCACCGGCUAACUCCGUGCCAGCAGCCGCGGCAAUACGGAGGGUGCAAGCGUUGUUCGGAAUUAUUGGGCGUAAAGGGCGCGUAGGCGGGCCAUUAAGUCUGAUGUGAAAUCCCUCGGCUCAACCGAGGACGUGCAUUGGAAACUGAUGGUCUUGAGUCCUGGAGAGGAAAGCGGAAUUCCCAGUGUAGAGGUGAAAUUCGUAGAUAUUGGGAGGAACACCAGCGGCGAAGGCGGCUUUCUGGACAGUGACUGACGCUGAGGUGCGAAAGCGUGGGUAGCAAACAGGAUUAGAUACCCUGGUAGUCCACGCCGUAAACGAUG